This 601-nucleotide ribosomal RNA is filed under the name uncultured bacterium. RNAcentral's name for it is "bacterial SSU rRNA". It matches the Rfam family "Bacterial small subunit ribosomal RNA", at positions 736 to 1341 of the family's 1533-position model. The record is from RNAcentral.
UUUACUGACGCUAAAGCUCGAAGGUGCGGGUAUCGAACAGGAUUAGAUACCCUGGUAGUCCGCACGGUAAACGAUGGAUGCCCGCUGUUUGCGAUAUACUGUGAGCGGCCAAGAGAAAUCGUUAAGCAUCCCACCUGGGGAGUACGCCGGCAACGGUGAAACUCAAAGGAAUUGACGGGGGCCCGCACAAGCGGAGGAACAUGUGGUUUAAUUCGAUGAUACGCGAGGAACCUUACCCGGGCUUGAACUGCAGGAGAAGGAUACAGAGAUGUUGACGCCCUUCGGGGCUCCUGUGGAGGUGCUGCAUGGUUGUCGUCAGCUCGUGCCGUGAGGUGUCGGCUUAAGUGCCAUAACGAGCGCAACCCUUUUCUUCAGUUGCCAUCAGGUGAUGCUGGGCACUCUGGAGACACUGCCACCGUAAGGUGUGAGGAAGGUGGGGAUGACGUCAAAUCAGCACGGCCCUUACGUCCGGGGCUACACACGUGUUACAAUGGGUGGUACAGAGAGUCGGUCGUCUGCAAAUGCGAUCCAAUCCUUAAAGCCAUCCUCAGUUCGGAUUGGGGUCUGCAACCCGACCCCAUGAAGCUGGAUUCGCUAGUAA